UUUAGAGCUGGAUGGAAUUAUGGAAGUCAUUGAGCCCACAUCUUCCCUCCUUUUACAGAUGAAGAAGCAGAGGCACAGAGAGCUUAAGCUACGUGCUCAGGGGUGAAUGACUAGUCUCUGAUGGGGUAUUUGAAUCUGCAUCUUCCCAUCCCCAAGACCAAUGUUUUAUCCACUCUGCCACAUGUGUGAUGAAAGCUCGCAAGGUACUGUGCUAAGCUUUGGUAAUCCAAAGAAAGAGGAAAACAAUGCUUACCCUCAAGUAGUUCAUCUCUGAAUGGAGGAGAAAUCAUGUAAGUAAUUAGAUACAUGAAAAAUGUGUACAUGUAAAUGGAAAGUAAUCUCAGAGAGAAGGCAUAGAGGGCAGGAGUGAUGUGGGACAAUUGCCUCUUGAGAAAGUGAGCUUGGAGCUGAGUUCUGAAGAAAUCUAGGGAAGCUAAGAGAUGAUACUAAAGAAGGAAAACAUUCAAGGCAUGGUUUGAAGGCACAAAAAGAGAAGAUGGGGUGCCAUGUGCUUGGUACAGCAAGAAGGCCAGGAUACUUGGAUCACAGAGUGCAUGGAGGGAAGUUAAUUUUUUUAUUUUUUUCCAAAUUAUAGAAAAUUUUAUUUAAUUAAUUUAGAAUAUUUUUCCAUGGUUACAAGAUUGAUGUUAAGUAUAAGAUUGUAAAGGCAGGAAGUAACGAGGCUGUGAAGGAUUUUCAAUGUCAAUUGCUCCUGUGAUUUUAUAAGGUGGGUUACUCUUGUGUCUCAACUGAAGGCUUUAGGACAGGGCUCAGCUGAGAUUCCAACUUGGUCUCCUUGGACUCUAGUCUGUCUAUUUCUAGAGGUGCACUCAACAUUAGGUAGCUGUGUACC
RNAcentral lists this long non-coding RNA (853 nucleotides) under Monodelphis domestica (gray short-tailed opossum). RNAcentral describes it as "lncRNA (ENSMODG00000048140.1)". The record is from RNAcentral. Lineage: Eukaryota; Metazoa; Chordata; Mammalia; Didelphimorphia; Didelphidae.